This is a non-coding RNA of Hypoxylon sp. NC1633, 107 nucleotides long. The record is from the annotation of a GenBank genome assembly. NCBI's taxonomy places the organism in Eukaryota, Fungi, Ascomycota, Sordariomycetes, Xylariales, Hypoxylaceae.
GGCAUCUUGGCGGAGUGGUUAACGCGAUGCCCUGCUAAGUACUUCUGGGUAUUUAACGGUGGGAGGCAUUUCCUUCGGGAGCGUAGGUUCGAAUCCUGCAGAUGUCG